This is a long non-coding RNA of Macadamia integrifolia, 463 nucleotides long. RefSeq lists it as uncharacterized. NCBI's taxonomy places the organism in Eukaryota, Viridiplantae, Streptophyta, Magnoliopsida, Proteales, Proteaceae. The transcript is spliced from 2 exons. The record is from RefSeq and is a predicted model, not a curated record.
ACAAAUGUUGGAGACAGUGGAUUCAUGGUGAUAAGAGGGAAUAGUAUUGUCUACAAGUCCCAAAUGCAACAACGUGGAUUCAAUUGCCCUUUCCAACUAGGGAAUCACCUUAAGAGUGACAUAUCCAGUUCUACUUAUAAAAUAUAGUCCAGGCCGUGAAGGAAAUGACUGAUUUCAUUGGCAUGUACCCAUAUGGGGCGGCUUGGGCGAUUGCUGAGAUGGCAAAGUUGAUUUCCAAAGACAAAUCUCUUAUCACACCCUUCUCACUUGGAGCAAAGAUGGCUGGUUAUAAGCAUUUUGGGGGAAAAAUUGAUGACAUUACUGUUAUUGUUGCUUAUGUUGUCUCAUCAUCGUGUGAUUAAUUUUCAAAUUGAAUCAGCUUGUGUAUUUGAUUGUCUUUUUACCUACUUGUUAAGGGGCACCUUUCUCUUCUUUAGGCAUUUCUAAAUUAAGGGUUUAGAGA